UAUAUGCCUUUAAUACAUAAGUAUGCAAGGGAAACGCUUUAGUGCUUAAGGAUGGGUCUGUAUGGUAUCAGCUUGUUGGUGAGGUAAUGGCUCACCAAGGCUAUGACGCCUAACUGGUUUGAGAGGAUGAUCAGUCACACUGGAACUGAGACACGGUCCAGACUCCUACGGGAGGCAGCAGUGGGGAAUAUUGCACAAUGGACGAAAGUCUGAUGCAGCAACGCCGCGUGGAGGAUGACACAUUUCGGUGCGUAAACUCCUUUUAUAUAGGAAGAUAAUGACGGUACUAUAUGAAUAAGCACCGGCUAACUCCGUGCCA
Molecule: ribosomal RNA, 319 nt
Filed under: uncultured bacterium
Lineage: Bacteria
Description: bacterial SSU rRNA
Rfam family: Bacterial small subunit ribosomal RNA
Source: RNAcentral